This 796-nucleotide ribosomal RNA is filed under the name uncultured bacterium. RNAcentral describes it as "bacterial SSU rRNA". It matches the Rfam family "Bacterial small subunit ribosomal RNA", at positions 58 to 828 of the family's 1533-position model. The record is from RNAcentral.
CAAGUCGAACGAGACUUUUUAUUUGAUGCUUGCAUCUUUUAAAAAGUUGAGCGUUGAACGGGUGAGUAACACGUGGGUAACCUGCCUUAAAGUGCUGGAUAACACUUGGAAACAGGUGCUAAUACCGCAUAACCAUCAAAACCACCUGGUUUUGAUGUUAAAGAUGGUUCUGCUAUCGCUUUAAGAUGGACCCGCGGCGUAUUAGCUAGUUGGUGAGGUAACGGCUUACCAAGGCAAUGAUACGUAGCCGAACUGAGAGGUUGAUCGGCCACAUUGGGACUGAGACACGGCCCAAACUCCUACGGGAGGCAGCAGUAGGGAAUCUUCCACAAUGGACGAAAGUCUGAUGGAGCAACGCCGCGUGAGUGAAGAAGGUUUUCGGAUCGUAAAACUCUGUCGUCAGAGAAGAACGUGUGUGAGAGUAACUGUUCACGCAGUGACGGUAUCUGACCAGAAAGUCACGGCUAACUACGUACCAGCAGCCGCGGUAAUACGUAGGUGGCAAGCGUUGUCCGGAUUUAUUGGGCGUAAAGGGAACGCAGGCGGUCUUUUAAGUCUGAUGUGAAAGCCUUCGGCUUAACCGAAGUCGGGCAUUGGAAACUGGGAGACUUGAGUGCAGAAGAGGAGAGUGGAACUCCAUGUGUAGCGGUGAAAUGCGUAGAUAUAUGGAAGAACACCAGUGGCGAAAGCGGCUCUCUGGUCUGUAACUGACGCUGAGGUUCGAAAGCGUGGGUAGCAAACAGGAUUAGAUACCCUGGUAGUCCACGCCGUAAACGAUGAAUGCUAAGUGUUGGAG